This 465-nucleotide ribosomal RNA is filed under the name Vreelandella stevensii. Its description in RNAcentral is "partial 16S ribosomal RNA". It matches the Rfam family "Bacterial small subunit ribosomal RNA", at positions 338 to 795 of the family's 1533-position model. The record is from RNAcentral. Lineage: Bacteria; Pseudomonadati; Pseudomonadota; Gammaproteobacteria; Oceanospirillales; Halomonadaceae.
CCUACGGGUGGCAGCAGUGGGGAAUAUUGGACAAUGGGCGAAAGCCUGAUCCAGCCAUGCCGCGUGUGUGAAGAAGGCCUUCGGGUUGUAAAGCACUUUCAGUGGGGAAGAAAGCCUUGGGGCUAAUACCCUCGAGGAAGGACAUCACCCACAGAAGAAGCACCGGCUAACUCCGUGCCAGCAGCCGCGGUAAUACGGAGGGUGCGAGCGUUAAUCGGAAUUACUGGGCGUAAAGCGCGCGUAGGCGGUCUGAUAAGCCGGUUGUGAAAGCCCCGGGCUCAACCUGGGAACGGCAUCCGGAACUGUCAGGCUAGAGUGCAGGAGAGGAAGGUAGAAUUCCCGGUGUAGCGGUGAAAUGCGUAGAGAUCGGGAGGAAUACCAGUGGCGAAGGCGGCCUUCUGGACUGACACUGACGCUGAGGUGCGAAAGCGUGGGUAGCAAACAGGAUUAGAUCCCCCAGUAGUC